This 253-nucleotide unclassified non-coding RNA is filed under the name uncultured Halomonadaceae bacterium. Its description in RNAcentral is "contains 16S-23S intergenic spacer region". It matches the Rfam family "Bacterial small subunit ribosomal RNA", at positions 524 to 776 of the family's 1533-position model. Lineage: Bacteria; Pseudomonadati; Pseudomonadota; Gammaproteobacteria; Oceanospirillales; Halomonadaceae. The record is from RNAcentral.
UACGGAGGGUGCGAGCGUUAAUCGGAAUUACUGGGCGUAACGCGCGCGUAGGUGGCUUGAUAAGCCGGUUGUGAAAGCACCGGGCUCAACCUGGGAACGGCAUCUGGAACUGUCAGGCUAGAGUGCAGGAGAGGAAGGUAGGAUUCCCGGUGUAGCGGUGAAAUGCGUAUAGAUCGGGAGGAAUACCAGUGGCGAAGGCGGCCUUCGGGACUGACACUGACACUGAGGUGCGAAAGCGUUGGUAGCAAACAGG